UACGGAGGAUGCGAGCGUUAUCCGGAUUUAUUGGGUUUAAAGGGUGCGUAGGCGGGAUGCCAAGUCAGCGGUAAAAAUGCGGUGCUCAACGCCGUCGAGCCGUUGAAACUGGCGUUCUUGAGUGGGCGAGAAGUAUGCGGAAUGCGUGGUGUAGCGGUGAAAUGCAUAGAUAUCACGCAGAACUCCGAUUGCGAAGGCAGCAUACCGGCGCCCUACUGACGCCGAAGCACGAAAGCGUGGGUAUCGAACAGG
Molecule: ribosomal RNA, 252 nt
Filed under: uncultured bacterium
Lineage: Bacteria
Description: partial 16S ribosomal RNA
Rfam family: Bacterial small subunit ribosomal RNA
Source: RNAcentral